GUCGGCUUGAGUAACGAAAACAUUGGUGCGAAUCCAAUGCCCCGAAAACCGUUGGGUUCCUCCACUAGGUUCGUCCAUGGAGGGUUAGUCAGGUCCUAAGAUUAGGCCAAACGGCGUCGUCGAUGGCAAACAGGUUAAUAUUCCUGUACUGAUUUUAUUGGGUACCAAGGGACGAAGGAGACUAAACUAGAACUGCUACUGGAUUUCAGUGGAAGCGUUUAGGUGUUGAGAGUUAGAAGAAAAACUAUACUCGAGCUAAGGCGUGAUCCCUAUUCUUAUUUUUUAUAAGAGUAGCUAAAAAAACUUUAUGUUUAGUGAUGUCAUACUUCCUAGAAAAGCUUGAACACCAUUAACAAUAGAAUCACCUGUACCUAAAACCGACACAGGUAGGUUGGUAGAGAAUACCAAGGGGCGCGAGAGAACUCUCUCUAAGGAACUCGGCAAACUGGCCCCGUAACUUCGGAAGAAGGGGCGCUGAUUUUCUACAAUCAGCCGCAGUUGACAGGCUAAGGCAACUGUUUAUCAAAAACACAGGUCUCCGCAAAGUCGAAAGACAAUAUAUGGGGGCUGACGCCUGCCCAGUGCCGGAAGGUUAAGGAAGUUUGUUAUGCUCCCCCCUUUGGGCUCCUGCUUCCAAAAAGCAGGGGAUGGAGAAAAAGCUGACAACCGAAGCCCCGGUGAACGGCGGUCGUAACUAUAACGAUCCUAAGGU
This 712-nucleotide ribosomal RNA is filed under the name Stephanosphaera pluvialis. RNAcentral's name for it is "LSU rRNA". It matches the Rfam family "Bacterial large subunit ribosomal RNA", at positions 1296 to 1957 of the family's 2925-position model. Lineage: Eukaryota; Viridiplantae; Chlorophyta; Chlorophyceae; Chlamydomonadales; Haematococcaceae. The record is from RNAcentral.